RNAcentral lists this ribosomal RNA (313 nucleotides) under uncultured bacterium. RNAcentral describes it as "bacterial SSU rRNA". It matches the Rfam family "Bacterial small subunit ribosomal RNA", at positions 32 to 324 of the family's 1533-position model. The record is from RNAcentral.
AAUCAACGCUGGCGGCGUGCCUCAGACAUGCAAGUCGAACGCGAAAGGCUCCUUCGGGGGCCGAGUAGAGUGGCGCACGGGUGAGUAACACGUAGGUAAUUUGCCUUUGGGUGGGGAAUAACUCAGGGAAACUUGAGCUAAUACCGCAUAAUGCAGCGGCUCGACAUCGAGACAGUUGUUAAAGCGGGGGACCGCAAGACCUCGCGCCUGAAGAGAAGCCUGCGGCAGAUUAGCUAGUUGGUAGGGUAAUGGCCUACCAAGGCGACGAUCUGUAACCGGCCUGAGAGGGCGGUCGGUCACACUGACACUGACA